RNAcentral lists this ribosomal RNA (122 nucleotides) under Aureococcus anophagefferens. RNAcentral's name for it is "partial small subunit ribosomal RNA". It matches the Rfam family "Eukaryotic small subunit ribosomal RNA", at positions 1706 to 1827 of the family's 1831-position model. The record is from RNAcentral. Lineage: Eukaryota; Pelagophyceae; Pelagomonadales; Pelagomonadaceae.
ACCUCCGGACUGGGGUUCGCAAGCUUCACGGCGAACGUACCUCGGGAAGUUGGUUAAACCUCACUAUUUAGAGGAAGGUGAAGUCGUAACAAGGUCCCCGUAGGUGAACCUGCAGAAGGAUC